This 387-nucleotide ribosomal RNA is filed under the name uncultured prokaryote. Its description in RNAcentral is "partial 16S ribosomal RNA". The record is from RNAcentral.
CCCUACGGGGUGCAGCAGGCAGGAGGAGCUGCGCAAGAUGGGCUGUGACGUCGUGGACGUCCAGUGUGCAAGUCGGGUGAUCGCAGAGUCACAACAGAAAUCGAGUCUUGCCAUGUACCGGUCGGUCGGGUUGGGCCUGGUGUACGGCGGCGGAAUCAUGUCAACGGACACGAUGAUGGACAUCAUGAUGAAGGGAUUCCUCCAGGCAGGAGAAUUCCCCUAUACCACCAGUGUCCCAAGCGAUGGAUCAAACCGUGCAGUCGGAGCGACCUCUGGGUGCUCCCCGACGGACGUCGCUGCCAUGCGGCGCAUCCCCGGCGUGCGCGACCUGUGGCUCAAGACGUUCGAUGGGAAUUCAAUCAGGACGCUUCUGAUUGGCGGGGGGGC